AGACCGAUAGUAAACAAGUACUGUGUAGGAAAGCUGAAAAGAACUUUGAAGAGAGAGUUCAAUAGUACGUGAAACUGUGUAGUGGUAAACGGAGGGGUUUCUCGAAGUCUGUACCGGAGGUUCAGGUUGACGGUAGCGCAGCAGUGGUGUUGGAGUGUCGCAAGAUCUCUGCAUUACUGUCAGUGUUAUUGGCGGCUGCACUUCUCCGGUGCUUCACACGACGAACCGUUGGCAUCAGACCGAAGGCAUGGGUGAAGUUCGUUCCUUGUGUUCGAGCCCUGUGUUCUUGGCUUUGAAGUCGACGGGGAUUUGAGCAGGCAUGUAUAGCAUGUGUUCAUGUUUGACACGGUCUGCAUCUCUGUCGUGAGUAGGUUGGCGGCCCCUCCGACCCGUCUUGAAACACGGAC
Molecule: ribosomal RNA, 407 nt
Filed under: Oncaea sp. JH33.33
Lineage: Eukaryota; Metazoa; Arthropoda; Copepoda; Poecilostomatoida; Oncaeidae
Description: eukaryotic LSU rRNA
Rfam family: Eukaryotic large subunit ribosomal RNA
Source: RNAcentral